CAGUCGCCGCGGUAAAACGUAGGCGGCAAGCGUUGUCCGGAAUUAUUGGGCGUAAAGGGCUCGCAGGCGGUUUCUUAAGUCUGAUGUGAAAGCCCCCGGCUCAACCGGGGAGGGUCAUUGGAAACUGGGAAACUUGAGUGCAGAAGAGGAGAGUGGAAUUCCACGCGUAGCGGUGAAAUGCGUAGAGAUGUGGAGGAACACCAGUGGCGAAGGCGACUCUCUGGUCUGUAACUGACGCUGAGGAGCGAAAGCGUGGGGAGCGAACAGGAUUAGAUACCCGCGUAGUCCCUGUCUCUUAUAA
This 301-nucleotide ribosomal RNA is filed under the name uncultured bacterium. Its description in RNAcentral is "partial 16S ribosomal RNA". It matches the Rfam family "Bacterial small subunit ribosomal RNA", at positions 509 to 809 of the family's 1533-position model. The record is from RNAcentral.